This 497-nucleotide ribosomal RNA is filed under the name uncultured bacterium. Its description in RNAcentral is "partial 16S ribosomal RNA". It matches the Rfam family "Bacterial small subunit ribosomal RNA", at positions 28 to 507 of the family's 1533-position model. The record is from RNAcentral.
GAUGAACGCUGGCGGUGUGCCUAAUACAUGCAAGUCGAGCGAACGGACGAGAAGCUUGCUUUUCUGAUGUUAGCGGCGGACGGGUGAGUAACACGUGGAUAACCUACCUAUAAGACUGGGAUAACUUCGGGAAACCGGAGCUAAUACCGGAUAAUAUUCUGAACCGCAUGGUUCAAAAGUGAAAGACGGUCUUGCUGUCACUUAUAGAUGGAUCCGCGCUGCAUUAGCUAGUUGGUAAGGUAACGGCUUACCAAGGCAACGAUGCAUAGCCGACCUGAGAGGGUGAUCGGCCACACUGGAACUGAGACACGGUCCAGACUCCUACGGGAGGCAGCAGUAGGGAAUCUUCCGCAAUGGGCGAAAGCCUGACGGAGCAACGCCGCGUGAGUGAUGAAGGUCUUCGGAUCGUAAAACUCUGUUAUUAGGGAAGAACAUAUGUGUAAGUAACUGUGCACAUCUUGACGGUACCUAAUCAGAAAGCCACGGCUAACUACGUG